UCAGAUGAUCGGUUUUUGGUAAACUGGCCUGUUAAAUUUUAAUUUAAUUAAAUUUACCUGUGAAUUUGAAAGUUAAUUUUGUUCUAUUGUUGUUUGGCUAAUCACAAGGAUCAGGUUGAUACCUAAAUUGUAAUAUUUCACCAGUUACUUACAUUGUUUUGGUUACUCUUAAAACUGAACCGUUAUUACAUAACAACCAUGUGUUUUCUUGCCAACCAAUUUUUGGACCUUUGGACAAUCGCCACAACUUUGAAAAGGACUCUGGUCCGAGGAAAAUAUUUUUAGGAGAACGUUUUGAGGAGAACAACCCUUUAUUAGGAUUAGGCGAACAGGACUUUUUGUCCAUUUAUUUGUGAUUUAACUUGUCAAUUAAUAUGUAAUUCGACCUCAGGGGAGAAAAUUUGUUAUUUAUUUUAUUAUUAUUUUGCAUUCUAUUAUUUUUUUCCCUUCCUUGUCCCUGUUUUUCCCUUUCCCUUGGUACGGUAGUCGCAACCGGAUACGAUGAAUUUUAAUUCAUCGGUGCCUCCCCUGAGGUCGCUGUCAAAGCUUCAAAUAAAGAUCGGAAUUCAUUUCAA
Molecule: long non-coding RNA, 575 nt
Organism: Panonychus citri (citrus red mite)
Lineage: Eukaryota; Metazoa; Arthropoda; Arachnida; Trombidiformes; Tetranychidae
Exons: 2
Source: RefSeq, a predicted model, not a curated record